AGUGAACGCUGGCGGCAGGCCUAAUACAUGCAAGUCGAACGGCAGCACAGCAGAGCUUGCUCUGUGGGUGGCGAGUGGCGGACGGGUGAGGAAUACAUGGGAAUCUGCCCAGUCGUGGGGGAUAACGUAUGGAAACGUACGCUAAUACCGCAUGCGCCCUACGGGGGAAAGUCGGGGACCGCAAGGCCUGGCGCGAUUGGAUGAGCCCAUGUUCGAUUAGCUAGUUGGCGGGGUAAAGGCCCACCAAGGCGACGAUCGAUAGCUGGUCUGAGAGGAUGAUCAGCCACACUGGAACUGAGACACGGUCCAGACUCCUACGGGAGGCAGCAGUAGGGAAUAUUGGACAAUGGGGGCAACCCUGAUCCAGCCAUGCCGCGUGAGUGAAGAAGGCCCUCGGGUUGUAAAGCUCUUUUGUCCGGAAGAAAAGCAAUCGGUUAAUACCCGGUUGUUCUGACGGUACCGGAAGAAUAAGCACCGGCUAACUUCGUGCCAGC
Molecule: ribosomal RNA, 494 nt
Filed under: uncultured bacterium
Lineage: Bacteria
Description: bacterial SSU rRNA
Rfam family: Bacterial small subunit ribosomal RNA
Source: RNAcentral